UACGAAGGGUGCAAGCGUUGUUCGGAAUUAUUGGGCGUAAAGCGCACGUAGGCGGCUUUGUAAGUCUCACUGUGAAAGUCCGGGGCUCAACCCCGGGAUGCCAGGGGAUACUGCGAGGCUGGAGACAAGCAGAGGUUGGUAGAAUCCCGGGUGUAGCGGUGGAAUGCGUAGAGAUCCGGAGGAAUACCAGAGGCGAAGGCGGCCAACUGGGCUUGUUCUGACGCUGAGGUGCGAAAGCGUGGGGAGCGAACAGG
This 254-nucleotide ribosomal RNA is filed under the name uncultured bacterium. RNAcentral describes it as "partial 16S ribosomal RNA". It matches the Rfam family "Bacterial small subunit ribosomal RNA", at positions 524 to 776 of the family's 1533-position model. The record is from RNAcentral.